Molecule: ribosomal RNA, 492 nt
Filed under: uncultured bacterium
Lineage: Bacteria
Description: bacterial SSU rRNA
Rfam family: Bacterial small subunit ribosomal RNA
Source: RNAcentral
GGCUCAGAUUGAACGCUGGCGGCAGGCUUAACACAUGCAAGUCGAGCGGAGCGAGGGUGCUUGCACCUUAGCUUAGCGGCGGACGGGUGAGUAAUGCUUAGGAAUCUGCCUAUUAGUGGGGGACAACAUUCCGAAAGGAAUGCUAAUACCGCAUACGCCCUACGGGGGAAAGCAGGGGAUCUUCGGACCUUGCGCUAAUAGAUGAGCCUAAGUCAGAUUAGCUAGUUGGUGGGGUAAAGGCCUACCAAGGCGACGAUCUGUAGCGGGUCUGAGAGGAUGAUCCGCCACACUGGGACUGAGACACGGCCCAGACUCCUACGGGAGGCAGCAGUGGGGAAUAUUGGACAAUGGGCGCAAGCCUGAUCCAGCCAUGCCGCGUGUGUGAAGAAGGCCUUUUGGUUGUAAAGCACUUUAAGCGAGGAGGAGGCUACUUGGAUUAAUACUCUGGGAUAGUGGACGUUACUCGCAGAAUAAGCACCGGCUAACUCUGUG